RNAcentral lists this ribosomal RNA (684 nucleotides) under uncultured bacterium. RNAcentral's name for it is "bacterial SSU rRNA". It matches the Rfam family "Bacterial small subunit ribosomal RNA", at positions 96 to 765 of the family's 1533-position model. The record is from RNAcentral.
CGGCGGAUGGGUGAGUAACACGUGGGGAACCUGCCCCAUAGUCUGGGAUACCACUUGGAAACAGGUGCUAAUACCGGAUAAGAAAGCAGAUCGCAUGAUCAGCUUUUAAAAGGCGGCGUAAGCUGUCGCUAUGGGAUGGCCCCGCGGUGCAUUAGCUAGUUGGUAAGGUAAAGGCUUACCAAGGCGAUGAUGCAUAGCCGAGUUGAGAGACUGAUCGGCCACAUUGGGACUGAGACACGGCCCAAACUCCUACGGGAGGCAGCAGUAGGGAAUCUUCCACAAUGGACGCAAGUCUGAUGGAGCAACGCCGCGUGAGUGAAGAAGGUUUUCGGAUCGUAAAGCUCUGUUGUUGGUGAAGAAGGAUAGAGGUAGUAACUGGCCUUUAUUUGACGGUAAUCAACCAGAAAGUCACGGCUAACUACGUGCCAGCAGCCGCGGUAAUACGUAGGUGGCAAGCGUUGUCCGGAUUUAUUGGGCGUAAAGCGAGCGCAGGCGGAAGAAUAAGUCUGAUGUGAAAGCCCUCGGCUUAACCGAGGAACUGCAUCGGAAACUGUUUUUCUUGAGUGCAGAAGAGGAGAGUGGAACUCCCAUGUGUAGCGGUGGAAUGCGUAGAUAUAUGGAAGAACACCAGUGGCGAAGGCGGCUCUCUGGUCUGCAACUGACGCUGAGGCUCGAAAGCAUGGG